This is an RNA transcript of Pipistrellus kuhlii (Kuhl's pipistrelle), 3407 nucleotides long. It is a transcript of the gene named YTH N6-methyladenosine RNA binding protein 2, with no coding region annotated. NCBI's taxonomy places the organism in Eukaryota, Metazoa, Chordata, Mammalia, Chiroptera, Vespertilionidae. The transcript has 6 exons. The record is from RefSeq and is a predicted model, not a curated record.
CCUUGGGGGCUCUGUGACCCUCUUCGGGUUUCCUCCCAGGCGGGGGUGGGGUGCCAUCUGCAGCUGGGAAGCAGGUUUAUUUUACGGUCUCUCAGGCUUCAGGGGUGGGUCCUCCCUGAGAGGCAGGUUUUUGUGGGGCUUCUCCAGCUAAAGUGACUCCCUCCAGGUAUUAAGUUAAAAACCUCGUGGUACGACCCUGCGGUCCCCACCCUCCUAGGCCCCAACCCCGAGGCGGUGGGGGCGGGAAGGCCGCGCGCCCGCGCGCGCCGCUUCCGCUCCUCCAGCCCGCCAGAGGGCGCUGCGGCCCCGCCUCGUCCUUCCCGAGGCGCCUCGCGCCGGGCCCCUUCCGCGUGGGUGAGUGAAUGUGAGAGUCAGCGCCGCGCCGCGCUCGCCGUCCGCCUCCGCCGCCCGGCGCUCUCCCUCCGGCUGCCUGGGGCGGGCGCGCGCGUCAAGCCAUAGAGACGGGCGUUGAGCUCCCGGGCUAGAGCGUCGCCGAGUCGGAGCCGGAGCCGGAGCCGCGCGCUGUGUCUCCGCUGCGUCCGCCGAGGCCCAGAGUGUCAGGGACAAAAGCCGCCGCCGCGCCGCUUGCUCCCGCCGCUGGGGCUCAUCCGCCGCCGCCGACGCUCUGAGGAGAGCCCGCCGCCGCCGCCGCCCGCGAGGAUCCGAGAGCCAUGUCGGCCAGCAGCCUCCUGGAGCAGAGACCCAAAGGUCAAGGAAACAAAGUACAAAAUGGAUCUGUACAUCAAAAGGAUGGACUAAAUGAUGAUGAUUUUGAACCUUACUUGAGCCCCCAGGCAAGGCCCAAUAAUGCAUAUACUGCCAUGUCAGAUUCCUACCUACCCAGUUACUACAGUCCCUCCAUUGGCUUCUCCUAUUCUUUGGGUGAAGCUGCUUGGUCCACUGGGGGUGACACAGCCAUGCCCUAUCUAACUUCUUAUGGACAACUGAGCAACGGAGAGCCUCACUUCCUACCAGAUGCAAUGUUUGGACAGCCAGGAGCCCUUGGUAGCACUCCGUUUCUUGGUCAGCAUGGUUUUAAUUUCUUUCCCAGUGGUAUUGACUUCUCAGCUUGGGGAAAUAGCAGUUCUCAGGGACAGUCUACUCAGAGCUCUGGAUAUAGUAGCAAUUAUGCUUAUGCACCUAGCUCCUUAGGUGGAGCCAUGAUUGAUGGACAGUCUGCUUUCGCCAGUGAGACCCUCAAUAAAGCUCCUGGCAUGAAUACUAUAGACCAAGGGAUGGCAGCACUGAAGUUGAGUAGCACAGAAGUUGCAAGCAAUGUUCCAAAAGUUGUAGGCUCUGCUGUUGGUACUGGGUCCAUUACUAAUAACAUUGUGGCUUCUAAUAGUUUGCCUCCAGCUACCAUUGCUCCUCCAAAACCAGCAUCUUGGGCUGAUAUUGCUAGCAAGCCUGCUAAACAGCAACCUAAGUUGAAGGCAAAGAAUGGCAUCGCAGGGUCAAGUCUUCCACCACCCCCGAUAAAGCAUAACAUGGAUAUUGGAACUUGGGAUAACAAGGGUCCUGUGGCAAAAGCCCCCUCACAGGCUUUGGUUCAGAAUAUAGGUCAGCAGCCAGCCCAGGGGUCUCCCCAGCCUGUUGGUCAACAGGCUAACAAUAGCCCACCAGUGGCUCAAGCAUCAGUAGGGCAACAGACACAGCCAUUGCCCCCACCUCCACCACAGCCUGCCCAGCUCUCCGUCCAGCAACAGGCAGCUCAGCCAACCCGCUGGGUAGCACCUCGGAACCGUGGCAGUGGGUUUGGUCAUAACGGGGUGGAUGGUAAUGGAGUAGGACAGUCUCAGGCUGGAUCUGGAUCUACUCCUUCAGAACCUCACCCAGUGUUGGAGAAGCUACGGUCCAUUAAUAAUUAUAACCCUAAGGAUUUUGACUGGAAUCUGAAACAUGGCCGGGUUUUCAUCAUUAAGAGCUACUCUGAGGACGAUAUCCACCGUUCCAUUAAGUAUAAUAUCUGGUGCAGCACAGAGCAUGGUAACAAGAGACUGGAUGCUGCUUAUCGCUCCAUGAACGGGAAAGGCCCCGUUUACUUACUUUUCAGUGUCAACGGCAGUGGACACUUCUGUGGCGUUGCGGAAAUGAAAUCUGCUGUGGACUACAACACAUGUGCAGGUGUGUGGUCCCAGGACAAAUGGAAGGGUCGUUUUGAUGUCAGGUGGAUUUUUGUGAAGGACGUUCCCAAUAGCCAGCUGCGACACAUUCGCCUAGAGAACAACGAGAAUAAACCAGUGACCAACUCCAGGGACACUCAGGAAGUGCCUCUGGAAAAGGCUAAGCAGGUGUUGAAAAUCAUAGCCGGCUACAAGCACACCACUUCCAUUUUUGAUGACUUCUCACACUAUGAGAAACGCCAAGAGGAAGAAGAAAGUGUUAAAAAGAUUUGGAAGGACAUUAAAAGCUGCAGGGGCUAAGGAAGUCUCAAAGAAGGGAAGAGAUUUUGAACUGUAUCUUGAAGGACAGAAGGCUAGACAUUCUUGUCUUGAAGAGUAAUAAAAGCAUAGGAAUGAGAUUUAAUCAAGAAGAGUCCAGAUUUCCUAAAGUCAGAGGAACGUCAAGGCCGUGGGAAAUAAGGCAGUUCUGCACAGACCACAGCAACGGUUUCAUCUGCAUAUCCCUAAAGAGGAAAAAAAAUGACCUUGGAGAAAAUUAGGACUUUUUUUCUUAAUUUCAUUGACUUCAGAGACGAUUGCAGAAUUGCAGUUUAAGUAUUGGAAUUUCACAAAAGACAUAGGACUUAACUGGAAAGUGGAAAAAAAAAGAAAAAGAAAAAAACUAAAAAAAUCCCUCUAGGUAGCUUAGGUGAAAAAUGUCCCUUUUAUUUUGGUUUUGGUUGUGAUUUCAGAGCAUUCUGCUUUUUUUUCUUUGUCUUUUUAUUAUGUUUUCGGAUUUUAAAGUCCGUAAGUGCAUACAGUUUUCUCUAAUUUUUAAACCCUUUCCUCCCCCCAUUUUGACAUUUGCACUUGGAGAACACCUGAGUUUUGAAGGUAUGGGCCUGCCUCCACCCCAGAAAGGGGGAAUUUGGUUUUUCCCUUCCGAACUGGAAGAACAUUUUUAUGAAGAAUUUUUGUGUUGGAGAAUUUAACAGUGUUACCCAAGGUUGUGUCUAAGGGUGGUUCAUUUUCUCUGACCCUUUGUUACUCAAAGUAAAGUACUAGGAUUCCUAAGAAAUGUUCUGUUCUUGUACAUUAUACUGAUUGAGUCAGGAUUAAUUUUAUUUCACAGCUAAGAACAGUGGUAAAAACUUGUUUACAGAAAUGCAUUUUGGAAGAGAAAAAUAUUGUAAAAUGUGUAGUGAAUGUUUCUUCAGUUUCUUGUUCAUCCAAUGAGGAAAGGGCAUUGCCUUUCUUUUUACCAUUAAUCACUUCUCAAUAAACGUGAGAUCCUGUUGAGCAUCA